RNAcentral lists this ribosomal RNA (460 nucleotides) under uncultured bacterium. Its description in RNAcentral is "partial 16S ribosomal RNA". It matches the Rfam family "Bacterial small subunit ribosomal RNA", at positions 338 to 795 of the family's 1533-position model. The record is from RNAcentral.
CCUACGGGUGGCAGCAGUGAGGAAUAUUGGUCAAUGGACGCAAGUCUGAACCAGCCAUGCCGCGUGCAGGAAGACGGCUCUAUGAGUUGUAAACUGCUUUUGUACGAGGGUAAACGCAGAUACGUGUAUCUGUCUGAAAGUAGCGUACGAAUAAGGAUCGGCUAACGCCGUGCCAGCAGCCGCGGUAAGACGGAGGAGCCAAGCGUUAUCCGGAUUUAUUGGGUUUAAAGGGUGCGUCGGCGGUCGGAUAAGUUAGAGGUGAAAUCCCGUGGCUCACCCCCGGCAUUGCCUCUGAAACUGUUCGGCUGGCGGGUGGUUGCGGUCGGCGGAAUGUGUGGUGUAGCGGUGCCCUGCUUCGAGAUCCUGCGGACCGCCGAUUGCGACGGCAGCUUACCGCGCUGCUUCUGACGUUGAGGCACGCCAGCGUGGGUAGCGCACAGGAUUAGCUACCCCAGUAGUC